This is a long non-coding RNA of Brassica rapa (field mustard), 5966 nucleotides long. RefSeq lists it as uncharacterized. NCBI's taxonomy places the organism in Eukaryota, Viridiplantae, Streptophyta, Magnoliopsida, Brassicales, Brassicaceae. The record is from RefSeq and is a predicted model, not a curated record.
AAGUCGCUCCAGGGCCGAUUUUUGGUGUGUCCGGGCGAGAGGUCGCGAGCGACUUUGGUGUGUCGCUCCAACGGGUCGCUCUGGAUCGGGAGCGACCUUGGUAGGUCGCUCUGAGAGGUCGCUCCAGGCUUCGCUUCGUGUCGUCUCGCCAUAGAGACGCGAGCGACCUCGGGGUGUCGCUUUGGGAGGUCGCUCCGAGAAGGGUGUGAGAUGCGAGCGACCUCGGUGCGUCGCUCUGGGCAAGUCGCUCUAGCUUCCUACGGGAUGAAUAUGGCGAGCGACUUCACGGGGUCGCUCUAGCUAGGUCGCUCUGAGAGGUGCUUUGGAGCGACCUCAUGACGUCGCUGCGGAACCUCGCUCCCAUGCUCUGCUCGUCCAAUGAUCACCUGUUUCACGUCCUUUAAGCUCCAAAUGCAUCCAAAUGUCCCCAAGAACUCCAUGUGGCACUCCAACACCUAAUGAGGACAAUGAAUGCAAAAUGCAACCUAGACAUGGCUAAAUCCUAAUCUAUAUGAUGAAAAUGCUAAUGGAUGAAUGGAUAAAACAAUGCAAAUAUGCAAGAUAUCAACAGCCUUGUAUUUCAUACAACUCCAAAAAUUUUUUUUCUUAUUACUUUAGAUUAUCAGUGUUUAUAUCCAAAAAGUAUUAUCAGAAUAUACACAACUUUGUCUGAACCUAUCUUUGGUGCACACGUUUCCAUCUCCAUCUAUAGACUCGCCGCCACCUUAUUUCGCAGCGUCAUUGCAGGGUUUCUUUUGUCUUCUUUUUCAGAGCGAUGAAGAUCAAAGUCGCAUUGUGGCAGUUAACCAAAUUUACCCUUUUUUCUCACCCUUAUCAAGAAUCAGCUCGUGAUCUUCACCUUCUUAGAGCAUCUCCAACCCACCUCUAUUUCUACCUCUAUAAUAGCAUUUAGAGGCAAAACUACUCCAACCCAUCUCUAUUUUUGCCUCUAAAAUAGAGAUUGCUAUUUUCUCCUCUAUUUAUAGAGGAAGAAAUAGCAUUCCUCUAUAUUUUGCUCUAUAUGUAGAGAUCUCUAUUUUAGAGAAAUACAUUGGAGUAAAACCCACCUCUAUUAUAGAGUUCCUCUAUUUUAGAGGUAAAAAUAGAGAAAUACAUUGGAGAUGGUCUUAGGUGACUCUUAUGCCUAUCCUAUCGUACUUAGCUUCAAUAUAUUUGAAACUUUCCUCAAUAAUAGCAUUUAGAGGUGAAAUUGCUCCAAUCCACCUCUAUUUCUUCCUCUAUAAUAGAGAUCUCUAUUUUUUCCUCUAUUUAUAGAGGAAGAAAUAGUAUUCCUCUAUUUUUUACUCUAUAUUUAGAGAUUGCUAUUUUAGAGAAAUACAUUGGAGCAUAUCUCAUCUCUAUUAUAGAGUUCCUCUAUUUUAGAGGUGAAAAUAGCAAAAUACAUUGGAGAUGGUCUCACUAAAACUGUAAGCAUCAGCUCUACAGGGUUGUAAAUUGUAACAUAAAGGAAUACUUUUCCAGCAACUCCUUACACGUGUACGGUGAAGAUAGUAUUGUAAAAAAAAAUGGACGGUUUAUGUUAAUACAAGACUGGACUCGAACUUGGAAUUGUUUCUUCUGCCAACGCAACUUUCAUCAACACGUACGUACAUAAGAGCAUCUCCAAUGGUGUUACCCACCAUUGGAGUCCUUAGCAAUAUAAUAGUAUUUUUGUUUUUUUUUUUUUUCAAUAGUUAAGGACUCUUAUCAGAAUUAUAGGUCCAAUGGUGUUAUCCAAUAUGGAAUCCUUAGUGUGUUUUUUUUUUUUAUCUUAGAAAUUUAAAAUUUAAAACAAGAAAUUAAAAAUUUACAUUUAUUAGAAAAGAAAAUGUAAACAUACAAAUAUUUUGAAUCAAAUCAAAUAAGUGUUGUAUAUAAUUUCUCAUUUUGUAAAUAAAUUAUGUUUCUUACUUGUACAACUUUUGUUAUCUUCUUAGCUUGAUUUUGUUAUGUUCUUACUUGUACAAGUUAUCUUCUUACUUGUAUAACAUAAAAGAGAAGAGAAUGAAGAGAAGCAAGAUUGUAGUUAGCUAAACAGAUUUAAACUUACAAGAGUAGAGUACAAAGAUUUAAACUUAUAAGUACUUGAGUCUAAACUGAAAUGAGUAGAGAGUAGAGAAACACAAGAACUUGAGUCUAAACUGAAAUGAUCAUACAAGUACAUUGUAGCAAGGAAAACAAGAGGAUAGAAGCUCUUAACAAGUCCGAGAUACAUAGCUAAAGAGACGCAAGCUAAAGAGACGCAAGACUACUUGACCAUUCUUCUAAUUCACCCGUGAGCUUGAAGCAAUAUCACCUACAGAACAAAACCAAAAAAGCAAGUUAAACUAGAAGCAAAGAAAGAACAAGCAAGUUAAAGACGUCUCAAGCAAGGCAAUGGAGAAGAUUCACAACGCUUUCUGCUCAAGUGUUUGCUCAGUAGUUGAGAACACUCUUUACUUUCCGGGCAUACACACAACAAGGGAGUAGUUUUCCCAUCUCCAACCAGAUUGAAGACAAAUAAGUCUCCUAUGUCGCAUCUGUUAUCACGACAGAACUUUCUCCAGCCCCUUGUAAUGUAAUACAUGCCGUCUGAUUCGCUAAAUCGCAAACUCGCAGUCCAUGAGUUUCCCUCUUUGUUCACUAGUAUCAUCUCUUGGCAUUGUUUGUUCAAAGCAGUAGAACUAGUAGCUCGCUUAGGAAGAUACUGCAAACACAUAAUAUAGUUUUUAGGAAUCAAAAUUGACUAACUAAAUCUAGUUUAUACGUAUGAAAAAUGACUCACAAGUUUGUCAGCUUUUAGAUUUGAAGCAGUGACCUCAGCCAAAAAACAGAAGUCGUAUGAGAAAGAAGACAUUGCCAUUGUUCCUCCUGAAAUAAAAGAAGCAAUUUCCACGUCAAAACAUCUCACAACAGGUAGGACCAAAACGAUGAACUUUGCUUGAAACUUACUAAUCUCAUUGUCAUCAGCAUCACCGGAGUCGGCUUCUUCCUUGAUGAUGUGAGGAUGUGUAUACUGAAUCUCACAACAGCUAGGACCAAAAGGAGUCACAUGAAACACCAUGUCUCCUUCGUGUUUGAAGAUGACAAGGUCACCGAUUUGAAGGUCGUGUGCUGUGGUGAAAUCUUUCCAACCUCCGGUGAGUGUCCUGCCUUCUAGUAUCACUUCCCAAGUUUGAUCUGAAGCGUCCGAUCUUAGUUUCCAUGUUUUCUGGUUCGUCUUCCCUUCUAUGUGCUUUGAGAAGAAGGCAAGUGGUAUUGUCUGCAAGAAAAUGCGAAGUUAAUCAAACAAGAAAUACAUCUAAUCAAGAAACGAAUGUAAACAAAUAGAGAGAGUGAGGUUCUUACGACGCCACUGUGGAAACCAGGAAGCAGAGGCUUAAAGAAAUGAGGUUCAUGUGGAAUCGCCAUCUGCAAACAAGAAACGAAUGUAAACAAUAUCAACAAUGAGUUUCCCAGCAGACGAAAACCCCAUUUCCAUUUUGAACCCAAAAUCUAUUUGAUCCCCACAAUCGAAACCAUAAAUCGAUUGUGAACUCACACCAAAACCUCUCUAAUCCAGUCGCGUUUCUUAUUAAAAAAAAAUUAAUUUUGAUAUCACGAACCAAAACCAUAAAUCGAUUGUGAACUCACACCAGAACCUCUCUAAUCCAGUCGAUAACAACAAAGAACCGAUGUGAAAAUGCAAAAAAAAUCAAACCAAUACGAAAACCCUAAAUCGAAAAAAUCCCCAAUCCGAUUUCAAACCCUAGAUUUUAUAAAACACCUCAAUCGAACCCUAAAACGAGAUGAAAUCAACAUGCAUAAACGCGAGAAUAAAAAAAAUAGAUUAAGAUCGAAUUUUACCUUCACGGAUCGAGAUCGCAAUUGGCCUCUCUGUCGUCUCUCUAUCGCCUCGCCUUCUGCUCUGUUUUUUUUUCGGGUUUCUGAAAAAAUGAGAACGGUUCGCGUGUUUUCGAACUCGCCUUACCAGAGUCAACACAAAAAACGGACCAAUCAAUAUGUGCCAACAAGAUAAGGACUUCGAUUUUUAAUCUUUAAUUAAGGAUCAUCCUUAACUUUCCUCUCCUCUUUUAAUAUUUCUUUAAUAAAAAAACAUUAAGGAUUUAUGUUAAGGAUUGCUUGAUUAUUACCGUUGCACAUGCUCUAAGUUCGUUGGGAUUGUUUCUGUCAUAUAUAUAACGGGGAAAAAACGAAAUUACGGAAAUAGGGACUAAACGGUUAUUUUGCACAUGAGCUAGUGAAAAAGGGAAACUAAACAAACGGUUAUAUAUUUGAUGACGAUCACCAGAUAGUAUUCUACUAUUCUUCCUCCCACUUUCUCUUCUCAUACUCAAUUCUCAAACACUCUCUCUCUCUCUCUGGCUUUUCUUGUCGUUCUCAAAAAUUGUUUUUUUCUGCUUAUCUCACGGAGACGUGGUCGAAUUUCUCUCUCGCCGUUCUUUUGUACGAACAAGAACACAAGCAAACAUCCGAGAAGAUCACCGUAUCUUGGAAAGAAGAAGACGAACAGAGAAUGAAGAGAAUCUUCCGUCACUUCCCAAGAAAAUCAUCGUUUCAGAAACCUUAAUGGUGCUUCUAAUUUUUCUACUCCUCUCGUCAAUUGCAACACUGUUGAGUCAGAGAAGACAGACUAAAAACCCACGAAACCCUAGUUCCCAAUCAUCUUCGUCUUCGUGCCUAACAGAGAAGAACAACACAAGCCGCCAGUGACGUGCCGUGCAAGAAGGAAAGCGUAGUUUCAAGAAAGCAAAGGUGACACCUUUAUUCACAUUGGAGAGGAAAAAUACGGCGGAUUGGAUGGUCCAUGUUGGAAACAGAUGUCAAACCAAGCCAGGGCCGUCUCUCAAUCCCUUUCCACAAACUGAUCCAAAACGACUUCUUGACUACACCCGUUGAGUCGAGAAUCACAUCAACAGCAAAGAAAAAAUGGUGUUUGGGAGUGGUUCUUGUUGAUCAAGUUUCUCAGGAGAUGGGAGAUGAACGGUUCUUGGAACUACGCUUUGGUUUGUGGGUGGAACGAUGUCGUGAAGGCUAAUGGACUGAAAGAUGGAGACAACAUUAGUCUUUGGUCUUUCAGGUGCCGAGGAGUCCUCUGUUUUGCCUUUGCUCCCCUCUGUUUUUUUUUUACAGGAAUAGACCGUGGGGAAUGAGGAUGGUUCCCUACCUGAAGCAAUCUACAAGCCCUUGAUGAGGCACGGAGGAGAGAUGGAGGUACUGCAGAGAAGCGGCACAUGAGACGUGGCAAAGGCGGAGAUGCAGAGGCACGAGCUUUGUUUUCUCAGGUAUCUUAUUAUUAUCAGGUCCAUUUAAUAUAUUGGGCUUUCAAUAUUUAUUAGAUAGAAUCCAUUUGGUUAAUAUAUGGGCCGUAUAUCAAACAUUUAGAAUCCUACACAUUCCUUUUAAUCUUAGGCCCAAUUUGACACAUAUAUUAGUCCAAUUCGGAAAGCCUAGUUUCUUUCUAUUAAUUAACUAACUUAGAUCUGGUAAAUGUUUAAAAGUAUAAUAAACCCAUAUUUAGGGAUAUAACGGUAUUAAGGGUUAGGGAUAUUAUGGAUUCGUGAUAUUAUAGAUUAGAGGGUAUUUUGGAUUUAAGGGUAUAAAGGAUUAGAGUUAUAUAGAACUAGUAACGGUAUUUUGGAUUUAAGGGUAUAAAGGAUUAGAGGUAUAUGGGAUUAGGUAUAUAUGGAAAUAUUGAUAUGUGGGAUUAGGAGUAUACAAGAUUAUAGGUAUUUGGGAUUAGAGAUAUAUAUAAAGAUUAAGGGAUAUUUGUGAUAAAUGGAUAUUUAGGAUUAGGGGUAUAUGGAAAUUAAGGGGUAUAUUAGAUUAGGAGUAUAUGGAUAAAGGCAUAAUUGAUUAAAGGAGUAAAUGAGGAUAAAGGAUAGUUGAGAUUAGGAAAAAUUGAGAUUAAAGGGGUAUAUGAGAAUAAAAGGUAUAUGAGAAUAAAGGGUAUUUGAGAUUAGGGGUAAUUGAGAUAUAAGGGGUAU